RNAcentral lists this ribosomal RNA (465 nucleotides) under Vreelandella stevensii. Its description in RNAcentral is "partial 16S ribosomal RNA". It matches the Rfam family "Bacterial small subunit ribosomal RNA", at positions 338 to 795 of the family's 1533-position model. The record is from RNAcentral. Lineage: Bacteria; Pseudomonadati; Pseudomonadota; Gammaproteobacteria; Oceanospirillales; Halomonadaceae.
CCUACGGGAGGCUGCAGUGGGGAAUAUUGGACAAUGGGGGCAACCCUGAUCCAGCCAUGCCGCGUGUGUGAAGAAGGCCCUCGGGUUGUAAAGCACUUUCAGUGAGGAAGAACGCCUGGUGGUUAAUACCCAUCAGGAAAGACAUCACUCACAGAAGAAGCACCGGCUAACUCCGUGCCAGCAGCCGCGGUAAUACGGAGGGUGCGAGCGUUAAUCGGAAUUACUGGGCGUAAAGCGCGCGUAGGUGGCUUGAUAAGCCGGUUGUGAAAGCCCCGGGCUCAACCUGGGAACGGCAUCCGGAACUGUCAAGCUAGAGUGCAGGAGAGGAAGGUAGAAUUCCCUGUGUAGCGGUGAAAUGCGUAGAGAUCGGGAGGAAUACCAGUGGCGAAGGCGGCCUUCUGGACUGACACUGACACUGAGGUGCGAAAGCGUGGGUAGCAAACAGGAUUAGAUACCCUAGUAGUC